AGUGAACGCUGGCGGUAGGCCUAACACAUGCAAGUCGAACGGCAGCACAGUAAGAGCUUGCUCUUACGGGUGGCGAGUGGCGGACGGGUGAGGAAUACAUCGGAAUCUACUUUUUCGUGGGGGAUAACGUGGGGAAACUUACGCUAAUACCGCAUACGACCUACGGGUGAAAGCAGGGGAUCUUCGGACCUUGCGCGAUUGAAUGAGCCGAUGUCGGAUUAGCUAGUUGGCGGGGUAAAGGCCCACCAAGGCGACGAUCCGUAGCUGGUCUGAGAGGAUGAUCGGCCACACUGGAACUGAGACACGGUCCAGACUCCUACGGGAGGCAGCAGUGGGGAAUAUUGGACAAUGGGCGCAAGCCUGAUCCAGCCAUACCGCGUGGGUGAAGAAGGCCUUCGGGUUGUAAAGCCCUUUUGUUGGGAAAGAAAAGCAGCAGGUUAAUACCCCGCUGUUCUGACGGUACCCAAAGAAUAAGCACCGGCUAACUUCGUG
RNAcentral lists this ribosomal RNA (492 nucleotides) under uncultured bacterium. RNAcentral's name for it is "partial 16S ribosomal RNA". It matches the Rfam family "Bacterial small subunit ribosomal RNA", at positions 29 to 507 of the family's 1533-position model. The record is from RNAcentral.